This 22-nucleotide small nuclear RNA is filed under the name Arabidopsis thaliana (thale cress). RNAcentral describes it as "snRNA_03708". The record is from RNAcentral. Lineage: Eukaryota; Viridiplantae; Streptophyta; Magnoliopsida; Brassicales; Brassicaceae.
UGUAUAGGAAAGCUAAUCGCAU